UUUGAGGCUAGAUCUUCCAAACUCUGUCAGGUUGAUCAUCAAUCAUGUCUGUGUCUAAGAGUCUCCUAGGGAGAUUUUAAAAUAAUGGAGUUCAGAUCCUACCCCUAUAGAUUCAGAUCAAAUUGGCCUGGGGUAAGAUUGGCCUUUGAAUUUUUAAAGCUCCCCUGAAUGAUCCUGAGAUACAGAUGAAGUUGUAAUCUAUUCCAUAAGACCUGUUCUCAGUGAGUCUGGAACCAACAGCUUCAACUUCACUUGAAAGCAUUAGAAAUGAAGACUUCAGUCCCCAUCCCCACCCCCAUGGACUACUGAUGAGCAGUUCUGAAAAGGCCAGAAUUCUGUUUUAUUGAACUGUUCUGUUGAUUAUGAUGCGUGAUCAAAGCUGAAACUCUCAUCAGUGACCUGAAGAGAAGUUUUCCACCAGCUUCAGUAUUUCUGUAAACAAAGAAAGCCCUAAGUCUUCCACAAAGGAAGCUCUUCAAGGUAGCUCUGCAGACCUCAGUGGAAGCUGAAUGAAAUAUGGGACAGAGCUUUGUAAAAGCUCCCUCCUCCAGUUUAGUGACACUAUUCAUACAGACUAAAGUGAGAUGGUCUUCCAAUGGUGUUCCCAGGUUGGGAGAGACCCUCAAAAGGGUAAAAGAAGAAAAGGAAACCAAUGUUACUAAAACUUGUUUUAUGCCAUUGG
This is a non-coding RNA of Rattus norvegicus (Norway rat), 682 nucleotides long. NCBI's taxonomy places the organism in Eukaryota, Metazoa, Chordata, Mammalia, Rodentia, Muridae. The record is from RefSeq and is a predicted model, not a curated record.